This 628-nucleotide long non-coding RNA is filed under the name Bos taurus (domestic cattle). RNAcentral's name for it is "long non-coding RNA NONBTAT024681". Lineage: Eukaryota; Metazoa; Chordata; Mammalia; Artiodactyla; Bovidae. The record is from RNAcentral.
UUUUUUUUUUAAAUGAGUGGUUCCCAGUAGAUAUUUUUAGUUAAAUACUAUUUACUUUAUAAAGAAACCCUUCACACAUUGCUUAUGGUUUAUAUCUAUUCAUUGGGUCAAAGAUAUGUAAGCAACCUCAUAUAUUAUACCCGCAAUCAAAAUGAGAAAUGACACAUAAGAUCCAGGCUCUCAGGAGAAACAUUAUGAAAUCUCAAGGUAUUGAUGAAAGUUUUUCCAAGGCUGAUCCAAAUGGGAUUUAGAUUCUGUGGCAGUUGAAAUGUGUAUUAUUAAACUCCUUAAGCAAACCCGGAUGACUCCCAGUGGAGGAUUAAGACAUUCUAUGUAUAGCAAAGACGAAAUUCUCAUGUCUGAGUUUUCUCUAUUGAAUUCCCCCUUGAUUAGCUUCUGUAAUAUUUAACUUCAUGCCAUGCCAGAGACAGUCUUGGGGCUGGUCUUGGGCACCUCAUUAGUUAAUUGAGGUUUACUUGGCUCGCAACAGGACUGAAAAGUCAGAGAACACCGAGGGAGGUGGGGAGCGGGAAAAGCUGGGACUCAAGGUGAGGCUGAAGUGAUAGGAUGCAAAACAGCUGGUCCAAUGGGAAGUGAGUUUGGACCCAGAAUAAAAACUGUUCAAUGC